Molecule: ribosomal RNA, 459 nt
Filed under: uncultured bacterium
Lineage: Bacteria
Description: bacterial SSU rRNA
Rfam family: Bacterial small subunit ribosomal RNA
Source: RNAcentral
AACGAACGCUGGCGGCAUGCCUAACACAUGCAAGUCGAACGAAGCCUUCGGGCUUAGUGGCGCACGGGUGCGUAACACGUGGGAAUCUGCCCUUCGGUUCGGAAUAACAGUUAGAAAUGACUGCUAAUACCGGAUGAUGACGUAAGUCCAAAGAUUUAUCGCCGAAGGAUGAGCCCGCGUAGGAUUAGGUAGUUGGUAGGGUAAUGGCCUACCAAGCCGACGAUCCUUAGCUGGUCUGAGAGGAUGAUCAGCCACACUGGGACUGAGACACGGCCCAGACUCCUACGGGAGGCAGCAGUGGGGAAUAUUGGACAAUGGGCGAAAGCCUGAUCCAGCAAUGCCGCGUGAGUGAUGAAGGCCUUAGGGUUGUAAAGCUCUUUUACCAGGGAUGAUAAUGACAGUACCUGGAGAAUAAGCUCCGGCUAACUCCGUGCCAGCAGCCGCGGUAAAGUCUGUACU